RNAcentral lists this ribosomal RNA (409 nucleotides) under uncultured bacterium. RNAcentral's name for it is "bacterial SSU rRNA". It matches the Rfam family "Bacterial small subunit ribosomal RNA", at positions 976 to 1381 of the family's 1533-position model. The record is from RNAcentral.
UGGUCUUGACAUAGAAAGAACUUUCCAGAGAUGGAUUGGUGCCUGCUUGCAGGAGCUUUCAUACAGGUGCUGCACGGCUGUCGUCAGCUCGUGUCGUGAGAUGUUGGGUUAAGUCCCGCAACGAGCGCAACCCUCGUCGUUAGUUGCUAACAGUUCGGCUGAGAACUCUAACGAGACUGCCUACGCAAGUAGGAGGAAGGUGAGGACGACGUCAAGUCAUCAUGGCCCUUACGACCAGGGCUACACACGUGCUACAAUGGGGUAUACAAAGAGCAGCAAUACGGUGACGUGGAGCGAAUCUCAAAAAUGCCUCCCAGUUCGGAUUGUAGUCUGCAACUCGACUACAUGAAGUUGGAAUCGCUAGUAAUCGUAGAUCAGCUAUGCUACGGUGAAUACGUUACGCGGGUCU